AGCUUAUCAGUGAUGCUGUAAAAAUAAAUGUCUGAACAUAUGAGUUCAAUACUGAUUUCAGCACUUAACUGAGAUAAGCU
This is a small nucleolar RNA of Suncus etruscus (white-toothed pygmy shrew), 80 nucleotides long. RefSeq annotates it as small nucleolar RNA SNORD72. The transcript has a single exon. Lineage: Eukaryota; Metazoa; Chordata; Mammalia; Eulipotyphla; Soricidae. The record is from RefSeq and is a predicted model, not a curated record.